Molecule: long non-coding RNA, 205 nt
Organism: Corvus hawaiiensis (hawaiian crow)
Lineage: Eukaryota; Metazoa; Chordata; Aves; Passeriformes; Corvidae
Exons: 3
Source: RefSeq, a predicted model, not a curated record
UAGGUACAGCUGCUCAUCUGUCACCAUUUUCCUCAGUGAUGACCAUCUCCCUGAGGAAGAGAACGACCACACAAAGGCAGACUGUGAAAAGCACCCACACUGUAACUGGAUAUACUGCAUCUGAGCUGAUUGGGAACAGGACACACUGGCGUAGAGAGACACAAAGUGAAGAGAGCUGGUGAGUGUGAAUGCAGACUCACUUCUU